Molecule: ribosomal RNA, 599 nt
Filed under: Janthinobacterium lividum
Lineage: Bacteria; Pseudomonadati; Pseudomonadota; Betaproteobacteria; Burkholderiales; Oxalobacteraceae
Description: bacterial SSU rRNA
Source: RNAcentral
ACGGCAGCACGGAGCUUGCUCUGGUGGCGAGUGGCGAACGGGUGAGUAAUWUAUCGGAACGUACCCURGAGUGGGGGAUAACGUAGCGAAAGUUACGCUAAUACCGCAUACGAUCUAAGGAUGAAAGUGGGGGAUCGCAAGACCUCAUGCUCGUGGAGCGGCCGAUAUCUGAUUAGCUAGUUGGUAGGGUAAAAGCCUACCAAGGCAUCGAUCAGUAGCUGGUCUGAGAGGACGACCAGCCACACUGGAACUGAGACACGGUCCAGACUCCUACGGGAGGCAGCAGUGGGGAAUUUUGGACAAUGGGCGAAAGCCUGAUCCAGCAAUGCCGCGUGAGUGAAGAAGGCCUUCGGGUUGUAAAGCUCUUUUGUCAGGGAAGAAACGGUGARRGCUAAUAUCYYUUGCUAAUGACGGUACCUGAAGAAUAAGCACCGGCUAACUACGUGCCAGCAGCCGCGGUAAUACGUAGGGUGCAAGCGUUAAUCGGAAUUACUGGGCGUAAAGCGUGCGCAGGCGGUUUUGUAAGUCUGAUGUGAAAUCCCCGGGCUCAACCUGGGAAUUGCAUUGGAGACUGCAAGGCUAGAAUCUGGCAGAGGGGG